Molecule: non-coding RNA, 4182 nt
Organism: Heterocephalus glaber (naked mole-rat)
Lineage: Eukaryota; Metazoa; Chordata; Mammalia; Rodentia; Bathyergidae
Source: RefSeq, a predicted model, not a curated record
CUCAGCCUCCCAAGUGCUGGGAUUACAGGUGUAUGCCACCAUACCCAGCUCCCUCUUUCUUGACUUUAGUAAUUCAGCAUUCUUUUAUUUUUGUCCCUUACUUGGUUCAGCUAAAAUUUUGUCUUUUUUUUUUUUUUUUUUUUGAGAGGAUCUCCCUAUAUAGCUCAUGCUGCCACUGGACUUGCUAUGUAAGCCCAAGCUGGCCUCAAAUUUGAGAUCCUCCUGUCUCAGCUUCCCAGUACUGGGAUUACAGGCAUGUGCCACCACAUCUGGCUAAUGUAUUUUGUUACAAAAAAUUUUUUUGAUUCUGUUUUUUUUUUUUUCUGUAGUAUUUGUCUAUUCUAUAUCUGCCCUUCUAAAUCCCUUAAUGGUAUUUUAUUGGGUUGUUUUGUUUUUUUGGUUUUUUUUUUUUUUUUUGGUACCAGGGAUCCAACUCAGAACCUUGAGCUUUUGAGGCAGGCAGCGGAACCACUGAGCUAAAUCCCCAGCCCUCUUAAUGGUAUUUUAAGUGAACACGUUUUAAUUUGAAUGUUGAUCAACGUUUUCUUUUAUCAUUUGUGCUUUGUAUCCUGAUUUUUUUUCUUUGUAUCCUGCUUAAGAAAUCUUUGUGAUCUAAAGAUUAUGAAGAUUUUUCUUCCAAAGUCACAUUCUUUUUACGUUUUCCAUUUGGAUAUGUGACCCAUCUGAAAUUGAUGUGUGUAAGGUAGGGUCAAGAUUCCUUUUUCCAAAUUAAGACAUGUUAUGUACAUGUACCAGCUCCUCACAAGGAACGUAAGCAUUAUGUCAUACAAACGAGCACUAAAAAAAGAAUAUAAUGAGGCACUCUAAAAUGGUUAAAACAGCAAAUAAUCAUGUAUAUUUUAUCACAAAAAUAUCACAAGUAGCCCACAGAGUCAUUGUAAAGUUUAAAAGACAAUAUAAGGCGCUAACACCUACAAAUGCUCAGAAAAUGUUGGCUAUCAUUGCCCUCAUUUUGCCCCUCUUCCUCCUCAUCAUGAGGUUUUCCCAUUCAGAAAGGGAUCUUAUCUCAGAGGGCUAUCAAUCCUCCAACUGCCUAGAAAGAGGGCCUUGGUCGGGCCUUACAAAUAGGAUACAUAUUGUGAACCUUGAGACUAACUGGAUACAUUUUCAAGGCUAACAGAGAGGACAUAACAGAAUACCUGUUGUGAAUACUAAAGCUAACAGGAUAAACAUAUAUAUUUUGUGGUGGCUUACACUGUGAUUAUAUAAAGUAUCACUCAUUGGGAGGGUUUGUGGAUCUGCCUGUUUCUGGAUAAGGCCUGUGAGAAUUCUUAAGGCUUAAAGACCUGAAAGUUGAAAACUUUUUUUUUUUUUUGAGACGGUCUUGCUGUGUGGUUCAGGCUGGCCCUGAACUCACUAUGUAGCCCAGGCUGGCCUUGAACUUGUGGUGAUCCUCCUGCCUCUGCCUCCUGAGUGCUGGGAUUACAGGUGUGUGCCAGCAUGCCUGGCUAAAAGUUUAAAACUUUAGCAAUAAAACUUCCGAACUGAGAGGAAUGUUCAUUUCUUCUGUGAUCUUUCUUUCCUGCUCAUUUUUAAAAGUGCAUACCAAGCAUUGGGGUUAAAAUGGUCAGCAAGAUAGACAUGAUCUCUGACUUAUCAGAACAUAUUAGAAAAAGAGCUUACCACCUAGGAGGGGAGACUACUACCAGGCCUAUUGGUACAUACCUGUAGUCCCAGCACUAGGGAGGCUCAGGCAGGGGGAUUGCCGUGAGCUCAAAGCCAGCCUGGGCUACACAGUCAGUUCAAGGCCAGCGUGAACUACAUAACGAGACCCUAUCUCAAAAAUAAAUAAAUAAAUACAAACAACUACAACAUGGAACACAUCCUUUUCAGCCCGGAGGCUCAUGGGUAGGGAAGGUUAUCAGGAAGAGCGCAUCAGGAGGAAUAACUCUACACUGAGAAUGAAAGACUGAGUAGGGGUGAAUCAAGGGAAGAGUGGGAAGAGAAAAGAGAUUAAAGAGGACUGGGGAUUUAGCUCAGUGGUUUCGCUGCCUGCUGUGCAAGCGCAAGUACCUGAGUUUGAUCCCCGGUACCAAAAACAAAAAAAAAGAGAUUAAAGAGAAAGGGAGAGAGAGAGAGGGAGGGAGAGAGGGAGAGAGACAGAAACUAUAUGGGAGAGAAGCUUUAGUUUAGCAGAAGUCCAAAGGAAACAGUGGGAGAUGGGUUGGGAAGAGAAAAGAGGCUCUCGUUACAGAAAGUAUUAUAGACAGGCUAAGUUAUGUAGAAAUUCAUAUGCAGUCAGAGAGGGACUGGGCUCUCAAGGAAGUCAGUGCAGAAGAUGAGCACACAUCAGAUCUGGCUGGAGGCACAUCUAAAGAAAGUGAGGCUUGCCAGGGAUUUAGCUCAGGGGUUUCACCGCCUGCUGCCCAAGCGCAAGAACCUGAGUUCAAUCCCCAGUACCAAAAAAAAAAAAAAAAAAAGAAAAUAAAGAAAGUGGGGCCUUGAGAUAAAGUCACAAAGGCUAGACUUGCAUACCUCCCUAAGGGAUGAAUGGAAACUGGAGAUUAUACUGUCAUUGGUACCACCCUGUCCAUUAAAUCCAGAUAUGCAUCAGACACCACAAUGGGUGACCACAACACCUGGACUCAUCCCUUCCCCAAAUUGUUCCUGGUUUAGAAGUCUUUUUUUUUUUCUUUUUGGUACUGGGGAUCGAACUUGGGUCCCUGUGCUUGCAAGGCAGGUGGCAGAACCACUGAGCUAAAUCCCCGGCCCUAGAAGUCUUAAAGAAGCCAAGGUUAGUGAUUUCAGUUGUAUAACCUUGCUAUGUGCAUGCCCCACUUCCCUACUGGAUCAAUAUUAGCUAAGGGACUAUUCUCAUACUCUUAUUGGUUGAUUAUAGUUUGGUCCACAUUGUACCCAUCUUGUGAUUCUGUACCCACCUCGUGAUUUUGCACUAUAAAACAGUAUUGGAGAGGCAGGAAUUUAGCUCAGUGGUACUGUGCCUGUCUCACAAGUGCAAGGUCAUGAGUUCAAUCCCUGGUACUAAAAAAAAAAUUUCUUGGAGAAAUGACCUCUGUGGCAAUCCACCCCUCUGGAGCUAUUUCUCAAUAAAUCUUUCCUACUCUUUUUUUUUUUUUUUGAGACAGGGUCUCGCUAUAUAGUCCAGGCUGGUAUUGAACUCACUAUGCACCCCAGGCUGGCUUCGAACUUGCGGCGAUCCUCCUGCCUCAGCCUCCCAAGUGCUGGGAAUACAGGUGUGCACCACCAUGCCCGGUUUUUUCCUGCUCUUAACCUUCAUUGUUCCUUGGAAUUCAUUCUUCGACUUUGGGUGACAUGAACUCAGCGCAUCUGACAUAUAGCAGUAGCUAUUUGUGGGUGUACAGUAACCCAACAAAAAUGUCUCCAGGAAUCGUCUCAGGCCCACUGGAUGGCACCACACAUCAGGGCCAUUGUCUCAACUCUGUAGCCCUUUGUCCUGGUUCACCGUCCCCUGUUCAGAGAAUUUCCUGGCAAAGAUGCAAAGAGCCACGGCUCAGCAGAUACAACUGUCCUGGACUCAGACUCUGAUGACUCCCCAUUUGUGAGAAGCAGCUUUACACUGUCACCUAGGAGUGAAGAGACUUAAAAAAAAAAUCAUUGAUGUCCACUCUAAGUGAAGUCACUCUCACUUCUGCCUGUACCACUGUGAUAGCCUCCUGACAACUCUCCCAAUGUCUAGUCUUGCCUCUGAACAAUACUGUGUUGAUCCUCUAAAAUCAACCCACAUCAGAGCCAGAACAAUGGAAGAAGGCAUGGCCCUCGGGUAUUGCUCAAAUUCAGGACAAGAAGAACCUGGAAAGGAUCUCUAGAAGGGGCCCACAGCACUCCAGAACCCCAGUAAUAUUUUUGGCAAAGCCAGCCAGAAGAUGAGAAGAUCCUGGAAACUAACUCCAGACUCCUUGGACACCUUCUAUCCCCACUGGAUGUCUCAUCCUGCUCCUGAGAGAGGUCCCAGUGUAACCAGCUCCCUCUAGCUCUUGGGUCCUUGUUUGGGGGCAAUGAAAAUUGAAGCUGACAAAUCAGCAAACAGCAAGUGGUGGGGAAUGGUCAAAUGUGUGUUUAUUAGAAAAAAUAAAAGGUGGGCUGGGGAUUUAUUUAGCUCAGUGGUUCUGGCACCUGCCUUGUGAGCGCAAGGUCUGGAGUUCGAUCCCCAGUACCAAAAAAGAAAGAAAAAGAAGGAAA